GAUGAACGCUGGCGGCGUGCCUAAUACAUGCAAGUCGAGCGAACGGACGAGAAGCUUGCUUCUCUGAUGUUAGCGGCGGAAGGGUGAGUAACACGUGGAUAACCUACCUAUAAGACUGGGAUAACUUCGGGAAACCGUAGCUAAUACCGGAUAAUAUUUUGAACCGCAUGGUUCAAAAGUGAAAGACGGUCUUGCUGUCACUUAUAGAUGGAUCCGCGCUGCAUUAGCUAGUUGGUAAGGUAACGGCUUACCAAGGCAACGAUGCAUAGCCGACCUGAGAGGGUGAUCGGCCACACUGGAACUGAGACACGGUCCAGACUCCUACGGGAGGCAGCAGUAGGGAAUCUUCCGCAAAGGGCGAAAGCCUGACGGAGCAACGCCGCGUGAGUGAUGAAGGUCUUCGGAUCGUAAAACUCUGUUAUUAGGGAAGAACAUAUGUGUAAGUAACUGUGCACAUCUUGACGGUACCUAAUCAGAAAGCCACGGCUAACUACGUG
RNAcentral lists this ribosomal RNA (497 nucleotides) under uncultured bacterium. Its description in RNAcentral is "partial 16S ribosomal RNA". It matches the Rfam family "Bacterial small subunit ribosomal RNA", at positions 28 to 507 of the family's 1533-position model. The record is from RNAcentral.